Molecule: transfer RNA, 77 nt
Filed under: Eubacteriales bacterium
Lineage: Bacteria; Bacillati; Bacillota; Clostridia; Eubacteriales
Description: tRNA-Arg
Rfam family: tRNA
About the family: Transfer RNA (tRNA) molecules are approximately 80 nucleotides in length. Their secondary structure includes four short double-helical elements and three loops (D, anti-codon, and T loops). Further hydrogen bonds mediate the characteristic L-shaped molecular structure. tRNAs have two regions of fundamental functional importance: the anti-codon, which is responsible for specific mRNA codon recognition, and the 3' end, to which the tRNAs corresponding amino acid is attached (by aminoacyl-tRNA synthetases). tRNAs cope with the degeneracy of the genetic code in two manners: having more than one tRNA (with a specific anti-codon) for a particular amino acid; and 'wobble' base-pairing, i.e. permitting non-standard base-pairing at the 3rd anti-codon position.
Source: RNAcentral
GCGCCAGUAGCUCAGUUGGAUAGAGCAACUGCCUUCUAAGCAGUAGGCAGGGGGUUCGAAUCCCUCCUGGCGUACCA